This 85-nucleotide non-coding RNA is filed under the name unclassified sequences. RNAcentral's name for it is "NiCo sequence". It matches the Rfam family "NiCo (Nickel/Cobalt) riboswitch aptamer". The record is from RNAcentral.
ACAGUACAAGCUGAGCAGGCGGCGGAGCAUCGUCUCCGCGUGGCCGGGCCUUUUGGCAGCAGGUUCCUACACCUGCGGGACAGGG